GAAACGCGAUAGGUAAUGUGAAUUGCAGAAUUCCGUGAAUCAUCGAAUCUUUGAACGCACAUUGCGCCUUCUGGUAUUCCGGUAGGCAUGCCUGUUUGAGCGUCAGCAAAACCCUCAGCAAAUAUAUUUUUGUUGGUUAUGGGUUGGGAGGAAAUGGGUUCUGCCCGCUCCCACCUUAAACUUGCUGCACGACCGCAAGCUUUAGCGAGGUUUAAUGGAGUGGUAAUACAUAUUCCAGCAGCCCAACUAGAGUGCUACGGCGUUAAAACGUUGUUGCUUUCGCAACUGAAGUUUGACCUCAAAUCAGACAAGGAUACCCGCUGAACUUAA
RNAcentral lists this unclassified non-coding RNA (330 nucleotides) under uncultured Orbiliales. RNAcentral's name for it is "sequence contains ITS1". The stretch from base 1 to 105 matches the Rfam family "5.8S ribosomal RNA", at positions 50 to 154 of the family's 154-position model. The record is from RNAcentral. Lineage: Eukaryota; Fungi; Ascomycota; Orbiliomycetes; Orbiliales.